This 668-nucleotide long non-coding RNA is filed under the name Rhinopithecus bieti (black snub-nosed monkey). Its description in RNAcentral is "lncRNA (ENSRBIG00000046531.1)". Lineage: Eukaryota; Metazoa; Chordata; Mammalia; Primates; Cercopithecidae. The record is from RNAcentral.
CACCCUCUCUUUUCUCUCUCUAUCUGCCUCCCGCCUUCUCAGGCUCAUUCCUCAUCCAUCAAGAAGUCCGAGGAACCUAAGGUCUAGGCCCAGCCUGGCUAUGGAGUAAAAGUUCAGGAGUCACUCUGGGAAAGUCGAGGAAAAUGGAACUCUAGGCUUCAGAGAGAGGACUGGCCUGGGACACAGCAGGCAGAUGAGCAGACAUAAUUGUUUGGAUGAACGGAGGCAAGAUGGCGCACUUCCGGGUUCUUCAUCCCCCCCCAACUUUUCCCGCGCGCGUGAAAAUCCAGCCGGCGACCCGGGAAGGUGCAGACCAACUAGGCAUGCGCCAGGUGAUGUCAAUCUGAAGAGACCAAGAUUUACCUGGUCGCACCUGUGGAACGCCCCCUGACACGCCCGUGCCCCGCCUAUUGCCCUCCCACUCCUAGAAAAGCCGCUCCGGAGGCACGCCACGCGCGGCCUUCCUCAGUCCUCCACUCCUGUCGGGAUGUCAGGACUGUGGGAACUCUGUCCGAGAGCUGUACGGGUGACUCUGGGGGCCCCUUUUGUCGGGGGGCCAACAGACCUCUCCCUACCCACCUUCUUCCCUUGAAGCUAGGUGACCAAAAUAAACUUGCAGUUUUGCUCCUACCCUUGCCUAGUCGCUGGUUCUUUUGUACCCGCUCUGG